Molecule: non-coding RNA, 113 nt
Organism: Manacus vitellinus (golden-collared manakin)
Lineage: Eukaryota; Metazoa; Chordata; Aves; Passeriformes; Pipridae
Source: Rfam
GAACUCUGGUUUCUCUUUAGAUUCUAUAAAUCUCUUGCUUUUUACUAAAGAUUUCCAUGGGGAGGAACAAUUUAUUUAUAAUAGAUUUCUAGUACUUAAAGAGGUCUCCAGGA